RNAcentral lists this non-coding RNA (175 nucleotides) under uncultured Faecousia sp. RNAcentral's name for it is "malK-I RNA". It matches the Rfam family "malK-I RNA". Lineage: Bacteria; Bacillati; Bacillota; Clostridia; Eubacteriales; Oscillospiraceae. The record is from RNAcentral.
UGCGCCUACUCCACCUAUAAUAGACGUAUUUCCGCUGAAUUAAAGGAGGAAACACCCGUCUGACUCACGGUGCGGCAGUGUGGAGACCUGUCGUAAUGCUGCCGGAAUUCUGCUUUCCGGUAUGCGAGAACGCACGCGAAAGGCUCGGUGCGUUCGGAGUCGAAACAGUAUGGCA